GUAAUCCAGUCUAUUGUUGCGGGUGAACAUCCUGAAGUAUGUAGAUAUGGUGUUAAAUGAUAUAUUGAAAUUGCACAAAUCACAAAUCCAAGAUGCUUCGAGGAACACUAUCGCCGUGGCGUACCAAAAAUCAUCGUCCAGUCUGAGGUCCUUGGAGUAGCCGCCGAGCAGGACGACGGUCGCCCAGGUGAAGGCCAGCGUGCCCAAGGCGUUGCCGAGCCUCUCGAUGAGUGCCACAAACCGGACGAAGCGAUUCAGCCCC
Lolium perenne is the source of this 262-nucleotide non-coding RNA. The record is from RefSeq and is a predicted model, not a curated record. NCBI's taxonomy places the organism in Eukaryota, Viridiplantae, Streptophyta, Magnoliopsida, Poales, Poaceae.